UCCCGGAUGAUGUAAUCGGCAGCAUGUGGGGUUUUGGUCCCCAUCGUCCAGGUUCGAGCCCUGGUCCGGGAG
This 72-nucleotide transfer RNA is filed under the name Nocardiopsis metallicus. It matches the Rfam family "tRNA". Rfam says of the family: Transfer RNA (tRNA) molecules are approximately 80 nucleotides in length. Their secondary structure includes four short double-helical elements and three loops (D, anti-codon, and T loops). Lineage: Bacteria; Bacillati; Actinomycetota; Actinomycetes; Streptosporangiales; Nocardiopsidaceae. The record is from Rfam by way of RNAcentral. RNAcentral also lists the same sequence under 7 other names.